RNAcentral lists this ribosomal RNA (352 nucleotides) under Salcus granulatus. RNAcentral's name for it is "partial 16S ribosomal RNA". The stretch from base 196 to 352 matches the Rfam family "Bacterial large subunit ribosomal RNA", at positions 2473 to 2630 of the family's 2925-position model. Lineage: Eukaryota; Metazoa; Arthropoda; Insecta; Coleoptera; Curculionidae. The record is from RNAcentral.
UUUUUAUAGAAGACGAGAAGACCCUAUAGAGUUUUAUAUUUAUUUUUAUCAAUGAGAUUUUAGAAUUUAUUAAUCGAUAAAAAUAAAUAUUUAGUCGGGGUGAUUGAAAAAUUAAAUAAACUUUUUUUUUAUCCUUACACUGAUUCGUGAUUAAUCGAUCCUUUUUUAAAGAUUAUAAGAUAAAAUUACCUUAGGGAUAACAGCGUAAUUUUUUUUUARAGUUCAAAUCAAAAAAAAARAUUGCGACCUCGAUKUUGGAUUAAAARAAAUUAUUGGUGUARAGGCUAAUAAAUUAGGUCUGUUCGACCUUUAAAAUUUUACAUGAUCUGAGUUUAAACCGGCGUAAGCCAGG